CUACGGGGAGGCAGCAGUAGGGAAUCUUCGGCAAUGGGGGCAACCCUGACCGAGCACGCCGCGUGAGUGAAGAAGGUUUUCGGAUCGUAAAGCUCUGUUGUAAGUCAAGAACGGGUGUGAGAGUGGAAAAUUCACACUGUGACGGUAGCUUACCAGAAAGGGACGGCUAACUACGUGCCAGCAGCCGCGGUAAUACGUAGGUCCCGAGCGUUGUCCGGAUUUAUUGGGCGUAAAGCGAGCGCAGGCGGUUUGAUAAGUCUGAAGUUAAAGGCUGUGGCUCAACCAUAGUUCGCUUUGGAAACUGUCAAACUUGAGUGCAGAAGGGGAGAGUGGAAUUCCAUGUGUAGCGGUGAAAUGCGUAGAUAUAUGGAGGAACACCGGUGGCGAAAGCGGCUCUCUGGUCUGUAACUGACGCUGAGGCUCGAAAGCGUGGGGAGCGAACAGGAUUAGAUACCCUGGGGUAG
This 464-nucleotide ribosomal RNA is filed under the name Streptococcus thermophilus. Its description in RNAcentral is "bacterial SSU rRNA". It matches the Rfam family "Bacterial small subunit ribosomal RNA", at positions 339 to 793 of the family's 1533-position model. Lineage: Bacteria; Bacillati; Bacillota; Bacilli; Lactobacillales; Streptococcaceae. The record is from RNAcentral.